RNAcentral lists this ribosomal RNA (283 nucleotides) under Escherichia coli O86:H8. Its description in RNAcentral is "partial 16S ribosomal RNA". It matches the Rfam family "Bacterial small subunit ribosomal RNA", at positions 438 to 713 of the family's 1533-position model. The record is from RNAcentral. Lineage: Bacteria; Pseudomonadati; Pseudomonadota; Gammaproteobacteria; Enterobacterales; Enterobacteriaceae.
AGCGGGGAGGAAGGGAGUAAAGUUAAUACCUUUGCUCAUUGACGUUACCCGCAGAAGAAGCACCGGCUAACUCCGUGCCAGCAGCCGCGGUAAUACGGAGGGUGCAAGCGUUAAUCGGAAUUACUGGGCGUAAAGCGCACGCAGGCGGUUUGUUAAGUCAGAUGUGAAAUCCCCGGGCUCAACCUGGGAACUGCAUCUGAUACUGGCAAGCUUGAGUCUCGUAGAGGGGGGUAGAAUUCCAGGUGUAGCGGUGAAAUGCGUAGAGAUCUGGAGGAAUACCGGU